Long non-coding RNA from Hyla sarda, 1422 nucleotides. RefSeq lists it as uncharacterized. The record is from RefSeq and is a predicted model, not a curated record. The transcript is spliced from 3 exons. Lineage: Eukaryota; Metazoa; Chordata; Amphibia; Anura; Hylidae.
UCACUGUGGCCUAUUUGUGAAUGCUGUCCGCCACCAAAUUUACUACUUAUGCUACUGUCAGGAAGAGCAGUACAAAAUAAAUCAUAAGAGGACAUAGAAAGAUUGUAGCUUGACCCAGAAGCUAUGAUUGUGAAAGGAUGAAUGAGCUCCUCUCCACAAUUACGGUACUAAAAGAGCAAGAGCAGACACAAUGGCCAUUUUAACCUCUAAUACAAGUAGUCAGAGGUUUAUUUGAACAGUGAAAGACAACAAACAAAUCCAGAAGAAAUAAAAAAGUUAUGAACUGAUUCCCUCUCUUACAGGGAGUGCUCCUAAUCUCAGCUUGUUACCUGUAAAAAAGACACCUGUCAACAGAAGCAAUCAGACUCUGGAAUGGCCAAGCACAUUGGUGAGAAGUUUAAAACAGGCAACAUUCUAGGACUAGCCAUAGGCAAGAAAUACAUGGCAAAUGCACAUUGCUGCCACUGGGCCCGAGAUUCUAUGAAAAUCCAUUAAACCAGUGGCAGGAGGACACCAAUGAGAUGACAGACAGAACACUUCCGCCUGUUAAACUCUUAAGAUUCCACGAUCGCUACGGACAGCAAUAUUUAUAGGGUCAGAAGGCCAGGACUAGGGAUAUCACCAAUCAUGGCACUUACAACGUUACGCCUGCAAUUAGUUAUAGCUGGCACCUGUGGGCAUCUGAGCAAUUUUGACAAGAGCCUAACUGGCAGUGUAAUGCAGCUUGCUGCGUAUGUGACUACAUAGCUGCAGACGAGUGCCCAUGCUGACCUCAGUCCUUGGCUGAAAGAGCCUACACUGGCACAUGAGCAUCAGUAUUGGAUCAACCAAGGAGGUGGCCUGGUCUCUUAGGGUGUGUUCACACUGAGUAAUUCAAGAGGAAUUUACGCGAGUAAUUCCUCUUGAAUUCUCCGCUUAGAAAUAAUUAACAUCUGCUUUGCCAUUGAUUUCAAUGUAUUUUACUCUGCACUGUUCACACUGCGUGAACUCCAUUCAUCUAGAAGAAAGAACAUGUUAAUUCUUCUUGCAGAAUACACAAGCAGAAGUCCAUUGAAGUCAAUGGUAAAAAAAAUUCCACUUGAAAUCGUUUCCGCGUGGAAUUUGCACGAAAUUUGCGCGGAAUUCUGCAUGAAAAAAAAAAUGUAAUAAAAAGGGAAAUUCCAAUUGGUGGUUGUAGUCCCGCAAAAAAAAAAAAAAAAAAAACUGUUUCCUCCUAUAUUCCGCGCGGAAUUCUGCGUUAAUUCCACAUGAUUUUCACACAAAAUGAACGCAAAUUUCGCAAAAAAAAAAAAAGUAAUUCCGCUGCAGAGUUUUUACGCGAGGAUUCCUCUCCUAUUCCUCAGUGUGAACGCACCCUUAGAAGACUUGAAGGGUUUGCUGAUAACAUCAUGGUACAAUAAAAGGUAUUUGUAAAAGUGUGUA